RNAcentral lists this ribosomal RNA (434 nucleotides) under uncultured Citrobacter sp. RNAcentral's name for it is "bacterial SSU rRNA". It matches the Rfam family "Bacterial small subunit ribosomal RNA", at positions 958 to 1392 of the family's 1533-position model. Lineage: Bacteria; Pseudomonadati; Pseudomonadota; Gammaproteobacteria; Enterobacterales; Enterobacteriaceae. The record is from RNAcentral.
AACGCGAAGAACCUUACCUGGUCUUGACAUCCACAGAACUUUCCAGAGAUGGAUUGGUGCCUUCGGGAACUGUGAGACAGGUGCUGCAUGGCUGUCGUCAGCUCGUGUUGUGAAAUGUUGGGUUAAGUCCCGCAACGAGCGCAACCCUUAUCCUUUGUUGCCAGCGGUUAGGCCGGGAACUCAAAGGAGACUGCCAGUGAUAAACUGGAGGAAGGUGGGGAUGACGUCAAGUCAUCAUGGCCCUUACGAGUAGGGCUACACACGUGCUACAAUGGCAUAUACAAAGAGAAGCGACCUCGCGAGAGCAAGCGGACCUCAUAAAGUAUGUCGUAGUCCGGAUUGGAGUCUGCAACUCGACUCCAUGAAGUCGGAAUCGCUAGUAAUCGUGGAUCAGAAUGCCACGGUGAAUACGUUCCCGGGUCUUGUACACACCG